GCCUGGGUGGCUCAGUCAGUUGAGCGUCUGACUUCGGCUCAGGUUAUGAUGUCACGCUUCAUGAGUUCGAGCCCCGUGUCGGGCU
Molecule: transfer RNA, 85 nt
Filed under: Felis catus (domestic cat)
Lineage: Eukaryota; Metazoa; Chordata; Mammalia; Carnivora; Felidae
Rfam family: tRNA
About the family: Transfer RNA (tRNA) molecules are approximately 80 nucleotides in length. Their secondary structure includes four short double-helical elements and three loops (D, anti-codon, and T loops). Further hydrogen bonds mediate the characteristic L-shaped molecular structure. tRNAs have two regions of fundamental functional importance: the anti-codon, which is responsible for specific mRNA codon recognition, and the 3' end, to which the tRNAs corresponding amino acid is attached (by aminoacyl-tRNA synthetases). tRNAs cope with the degeneracy of the genetic code in two manners: having more than one tRNA (with a specific anti-codon) for a particular amino acid; and 'wobble' base-pairing, i.e. permitting non-standard base-pairing at the 3rd anti-codon position.
Source: Rfam by way of RNAcentral